Molecule: non-coding RNA, 1006 nt
Organism: Heterocephalus glaber (naked mole-rat)
Lineage: Eukaryota; Metazoa; Chordata; Mammalia; Rodentia; Bathyergidae
Source: RefSeq, a predicted model, not a curated record
UCACCAGUUACUGUUUUGUACUUUGGUAGUAAAGUGACUAAGAAAAUGAUGUGGGGCCUACUGGUCUCUGGGUCCUUGAAGGCUCACCCUACAAGGGAAUAGUAGGAUCUUGGUCUCUUCCUCUUCCCAGCCAUGAGGUGAGGACUUUGCUCCCCUAUACUUUCCCACUGUGAUGUGCUGCCUCAGAACAAGCCCAAACCACUGGGAACAACUGAUCAUGGACUGACACCUCCAAAACCAUGAGCUAAGAUAAACCUUUUUUCUUCGUAAGCUGAUUGUCUCAGGUGUUUGUUAUAGUAAUGGAAAGCUAAAAGUCACAACUCCUAACACACAUGACUCUGUUCUUCAGAUGCAAAUGAAGUAAGUGAAAGCAUGAAGUUCGUCCAGGGAAAUCCUAACCAGCCAGAGGGCUGGCAGCAGAGACCGUGAGAGAAGGAACAGGGUCUUGUUAUGUAAUUCAAGUUGGCCUUGAACUCAUUCUUUAGCCAAGGCAGAAAAACUCCCAGCAAUUGUCCUGCCUGAGCCUUCCAAGCACUGGGAUUACAGGCGUGCACCACCAUGCCCAGCUUACCAUUAUGCAUGGAUUCAACAGACAUCUCUUAGCGCUACCUUCUGUCCAGUGGACAGCACAUCAGGUGUGACAUGGAGAAAGGGACAACCGUGUGGAGAGUCACUUCCCUGGUGGCCAGAGAUGCAGAGGAAAUUGACCAGGGCUCCUUGGCGCCAUCUUGGUGGGUAGAACUCAAAACAGCUGUGGGCACGUCCAGCUGUGAAUCUCUGCAGACCCCUUUGGAGAUCACAUGAAAGUACAGAUAAACCUUCCAUACCUGCCUGGCUGCAGCAGCUGUGCUCCUCCCAUACUGCAGGUUGGAAUCAUCCUGAAAACCCUAAAAAGUAGAUGCUGAGGUGGGUGUGGUGGUGCACACCUAUAAUCCCACCACUCUGGGAGGCUGAGACAGGAGGAUUUCCACUUGCAGCCCAGCCCAGGAAAUUUAAAGGUUUAGCA